UCAACCUCCCACGUGGCUGAGACUAUAGGUGCUUGCCACUAUGCCCAACUAAUAUUUGGAAUUUUCCUAUACGUGGAUUCCAGAGGGGUGACAGCGAAACGUGAGAAAUGCCAGCUGAGGCACAUGCCUUGGGAGCUAAGUGGUUGCUGCACUUGACCACUGUGAAGACUGGUGUGGGAAGGGUUGUUUUGGAUGCACUUGAGCAGGGGUCCCCAACCCCUGAGCCAUGGAGCCGUAAGGAGCCACACAGCAGGAGGUGAGUAGGACCAUCCAGUUGCAGAAAAACAAGCUUAACACGCCCACUGAUUCUACAUUAUGGCCCUACCUCCCGGCAGCCUCUCCAGGCCCAGAACUUUCUCCAGUCAGCCUCCACAGACCAAGCUCAUGACUCACAAUGGCCUAUUUAGGCCCAUACCCUACCUCACGGCAGUCUCUGCAGAUGAGGCUACUGCCUCACAACAGCCUCCACAGGCACAGCUCCACCGUUACAAUGGCCUCUUUAGACCCAGCUCCUGCCUCCCAGCCUUCUCUCCAGGCCCUGAGCUUUCUCAAGUCGACCUCACCAGGCCCAGCUCAUGCUUCUUGGCAGCCUCUCCAGGCCCAGCUCCUGCAUCUUGGCAGCCUCUCCAGGCCCAGCCUCUGCCUCCUGUCAGCCUCUACAGUCCCAACAUCUGCCUCACAGCAGAUUCUUCAGGCCCAGUAUCUGCCUCACUGUGGACCACCCAAGCCAAGCUCCCAACCUUUCAGCAGCUUCUACACACCCAGCUCCUGCCACC
RNAcentral lists this long non-coding RNA (776 nucleotides) under Homo sapiens (human). RNAcentral's name for it is "long non-coding RNA NONHSAT212027.1". The record is from RNAcentral. Lineage: Eukaryota; Metazoa; Chordata; Mammalia; Primates; Hominidae.